This is a non-coding RNA of Otolemur garnettii (small-eared galago), 290 nucleotides long. The record is from Rfam. NCBI's taxonomy places the organism in Eukaryota, Metazoa, Chordata, Mammalia, Primates, Galagidae.
GCCAGGCACAGUGGCACGCACCUGUAGUCCCAGCUACUCGGGAGGCGGAGGCAGGAGGAUCACUGGACACGGGAAUUCUGGGCCGCAGUGUGUUAUGCCCAUACAGUGUCUGCACAAAAUUCAACAUCAACCUCCCAGGAACAGGGGACCAUCAGGUUGUCUAAGGAGGGGUAGACCAGGCCAGGUCAGAAAUGUGGGAAGUCAAAACUCCCACGCUGACCAGCAGUGGCAUCAUGUCUGUGAAUAGCCAUGGUAAUAAGCCUGGGCAGUAUAGUGAGACCUUGUCUCUU